CCUACGGGCGGCAGCAGUGGGGAAUAUUGGACAAUGGGGGGAACCCUGAUCCAGCCAUGCCGCGUGUGUGAAGAAGGCCCUCGGGUUGUAAAGCACUUUCAGUGGGGAAGAACGCCUGGUGGUUAAUACCCAUCAGGAAAGACAUCACUCACAGAAGAAGCACCGGCUAACUCCGUGCCAGCAGCCGCGGUAAUACGGAGGGUGCGAGCGUUAAUCGGAAUUACUGGGCGUAAAGCGCGCGUAGGUGGCUUGAUAAGCCGGUUGUGAAAGCCCCGGGCUCAACCUGGGAAUGGCAUCCGGAACUGUCAAGCUAGAGUGCAGGAGAGGAAGGUAGAAUUCCCGGUGUAGCGGUGAAAUGCGUAGAGAUCGGGAGGAAUACCAGUGGCGAAGGCGGCCUUCUGGACUGACACUGACACUGAGGUGCGAAAGCGUGGGUAGCAAACAGGAUUAGAUACCCUUGUAGUC
Molecule: ribosomal RNA, 465 nt
Filed under: Vreelandella stevensii
Lineage: Bacteria; Pseudomonadati; Pseudomonadota; Gammaproteobacteria; Oceanospirillales; Halomonadaceae
Description: partial 16S ribosomal RNA
Rfam family: Bacterial small subunit ribosomal RNA
Source: RNAcentral